GGGCGUAAAGCGUCUGUAGGUUGUUUAAUAAGUCUGUUGUUAAAGACUAGGGCUCAACCCUAGAAAAGCAAUGGAAACUACUAGACUUGAGUAUGGCAGGGGUAGAGAGAAUUUCUAGUGUAGCGGUGAAAUGCGUAGAUAUUAGAAAGAACACCAGCGGCGAAAGCGCUCUACUGGACCAUUACUGACACUCAGAGACGAAAGCUAGGGUAGCAAAAGGGAUUAGAUACCCCUGUAGUCCUAGCCGUAAACGAUGGAUACUAGAUGUUGUGUUUAAUAUGCAGUAUCGUAGCUAACGCGUUAAGUAUCCCGCCUGGGGAGUACGCUCGCAAGGGUGAAACUCAAAGGAAUUGACGGGGGCCCGCACAAGCGGUGGAGCAUGUGGUUUAAUUCGAUGCAACGCGAAGAACCUUACCAGGACUUGACAUACUACAAAUUUCUUUGAAAAAAGGAAGUGCCUUCGGGAAUGUAGAUACAGGUGGUGCAUGGCUGUCGUCAGCUCGUGUCGUGAGAUGUUGGGUUAAGUCCCGCAACGAGCGCAACCCUUAUUUUUAGUUACUAAUUAAUUAGGUUUUCUAGAAAGACUGCCGGUGACAAACCGGAGGAAGGUGAGGAUGACGUCAAGUCAGCAUGCCCCUUAUGUCCUGGGCUACACACGUGCUACAAUGGUUAAAACAAAGGGUCGCGAGCUCGUGAGAGUCAGCUAAUCCCAUAAAUUUAGCCUAAGUUCAGAUUGUAGGCUGCA
Molecule: ribosomal RNA, 745 nt
Filed under: uncultured marine haptophyte
Lineage: Eukaryota; Haptophyta
Description: bacterial SSU rRNA
Rfam family: Bacterial small subunit ribosomal RNA
Source: RNAcentral